Long non-coding RNA from Protopterus annectens (West African lungfish), 252 nucleotides. RefSeq lists it as uncharacterized. NCBI's taxonomy places the organism in Eukaryota, Metazoa, Chordata, Ceratodontiformes, Protopteridae. The transcript has 2 exons. The record is from RefSeq and is a predicted model, not a curated record.
CUUUGCAAUGCUGUCAGGCCCAAGCACAUGUAGCUGGAUUCACCACUACAUCACUGCUGGAAAAAGGAAUUGGCUAACCUUUCAAUGCUACAAAUCCAAAAAUCAUACACCAGGCUUCCUCAAGCACAGAGAUGACCAGCACCUUCUGAAUCAGCUGAAGUCAGGACCAAAUGUAUGCAUUUCUAUCAACUCUCUAAUCUUAAGAGUUGUGUUAAAAUGAAAAUAAAAUGAAUGCUUAAUUCUUAUAACUAA